Molecule: ribosomal RNA, 501 nt
Filed under: uncultured archaeon
Lineage: Archaea
Description: bacterial SSU rRNA
Rfam family: Archaeal small subunit ribosomal RNA
Source: RNAcentral
UACGGGGUGCAGCAGGCGCGAAACCUUCACACUGUGCGAGAGCACGAUGAGGGGAUCCCAAGUGCUGGUUCGUAAGAGUCAGCUGUUUCUUUGUCUAAAAAACAGAGAGAGUAAGGGCUGGGUAAGACGGGUGCCAGCCGCCGCGGUAAUACCUGCAGCUCAAGUGGUAGCCGCUAUUAUUGGGCCUAAAACGUUCGUAGCCGGUUUAGUAAAUGCUUGGGUAAAUUGUGUCGCUUAACGAUACGAAUUCCGGGUAGACUNNNAAACUUGGGACCGGGAGAGGUUAGAGGUACUCCUGGGGUAGAGGUGAAAUUCUGUAAUCCUGGGGGGACCACCAGUGGCGAAGGCGUCUAACCAGAACGGGUCUGACGGUGAGGGACGAAACCCUGGGGCGCAAACCGGAUUAGAUACCCGGGUAGUCCAGGGUGUAAACGCUGCUCGCUUGAUGUUAGUUGGGCUCCGAGCCCACCUAGUGUCGGAGAGAAGUUGUUAAGCGAGCUG